This 375-nucleotide ribosomal RNA is filed under the name uncultured eukaryote. RNAcentral's name for it is "partial 18S ribosomal RNA". It matches the Rfam family "Eukaryotic small subunit ribosomal RNA", at positions 592 to 976 of the family's 1831-position model. The record is from RNAcentral.
CAAUAGCGUAUAUUUAAGUUGUUGCAGUUAAAAAGCUCGUAGUUGGAUUUCGGUUAAGAGCGACCGGUCCGCCGUUUGGUGUGCACUGGUUGGUUUUAACUUCCUGUAGAGGACGUGCUCUGGGUUUAACGACCUGGACUCGGAGUCUACGUGGUUACUUUGAAAAAAUUAGAGUGUUCAAAGCGGGCUUACGCUUGAAUAUUUCAGCAUGGAAUAACACUAUAGGACUCCUGUCCUAUUUCGUUGGUCUCGGGACGGGAGUAAUGAUUAAGAGGAACAGUUGGGGGCAUUCGUAUUUCAUUGUCAGAGGUGAAAUUCUUGGAUUUACGGAAGACGAACUACUGCGAAAGCAUUUACCAAGGAUGUUUUCAUUAA